UAAUUUAUUAAUUAUUCUGUCUUACAUUUAAAAUUUAUUUUAAAUGCAAAUAAUAAUAAUAAUAUGUUGUAUUGAAAAAUAUAUAACACAAAUACCCUUGACAAAUUUAUUUAAGAAACCUUAAAUAAGGACAAAAUAGACAUUUUACACUUUGCACCAUUUUGGUGCAAAGUGAAUAUAAUGUUCACUUUGUGUCAUUUUGCAAAAUGGUGCAAAAUUUGAUAUUGCAUUGGAGCAACUUUACACCAAAAAAUGAUGCAAUGGUGCAAUCAUUGGAGAUGUCUUUAGAUUACUGGAUUCCCCAUCAAAAAUUUGGAUCAGCAAUCACUAUACCAGGAUUUCUUGGGUUCUCCAAUCAACACAAGACUUAUGAAUAAUGCGCCUGCUGAGAGUCCCUACUCUAUUUGAGAUUCUGCAGUCGGAAUUUCUGGGUUGCAGUGGUCAAAGACGAGAGAUGAAUGACUCAAGUAAUUGGUUUUACCUGCCUUAUUUUCUCUACUGAACACUCUUGCCGAAGAAAAGCUUCCCGCAGGGCCACUUGAAAAUUUUGGACAAAAAGCAAGUUUUAACAUGGGCACAAGGCAAACAGAGAAGACGUUUCUUGUCUUUAAUCAAACCCAUGAUAAAACAACCUUGAUUAUCAGUUCCAUGGUUGAGGCUAUUAAUUUAAUUUUAGCCCUUCGACUAAAUUUAUUUGUACUCGUGACAUUUUGAAAUAAAAAUAAAAAUUUGUUUUUUUCAAUAAAUAUUUGUAGUAAUUUGAGCUUGCAUUUUGUUCAUGGAUCAACUUGAUAUUAUAAAUCAAGUGUUUAAG
Molecule: long non-coding RNA, 814 nt
Filed under: Olea europaea subsp. europaea
Lineage: Eukaryota; Viridiplantae; Streptophyta; Magnoliopsida; Lamiales; Oleaceae
Source: RNAcentral